GACGAACGCUGGCGGCGUGCUUAACACAUGCAAGUCGAACGGAAAGGCCCUGCUUUUGUUGGGUGCUCGAGUGGCGAACGGGUGAGUAACACGUGAGUAUCCUGCCCUUGACUUUGGGAUAACUUCAGGAAACUGGGGCUAAUACCGGAUAGGAGCUCCUGCUGUAUGGUGGUGGUUGGAAAGUUUCGGCGGUUGGGGAUCGACUCGCGGCUUAUCCGCUUCUUGGUGGGGUAGUGGCUUACCAAGGCUUUGACGGGUAGCCUGCCUGAGAGGGUGACCGGCGACAAUAGGACUGAGAGACGGACCAGAAGGCUACGGGAGGCAGCAGUGGGGAAUAUUGCACAAUAGGCGGAAGCCUGAGGCAGAAACGCCGCGUGCGGGAUGACGGCCUUCGGGUUGUAAACCGAUUUCGCCUGUGACGAAGAGUGAGUGACGGUAAUGGGUAAAGAAGCAACGGCUAACUACGUG
Molecule: ribosomal RNA, 468 nt
Filed under: uncultured bacterium
Lineage: Bacteria
Description: partial 16S ribosomal RNA
Rfam family: Bacterial small subunit ribosomal RNA
Source: RNAcentral